Molecule: long non-coding RNA, 2310 nt
Organism: Rhineura floridana
Lineage: Eukaryota; Metazoa; Chordata; Lepidosauria; Squamata; Rhineuridae
Exons: 3
Source: RefSeq, a predicted model, not a curated record
GAGCACCACCUUGUCUCUUUGGUGAUGUUCUGUUGUGGCUCCAUUUCCAUCCUGACUCGCAAAUCCCUGAGGGGAGAAGGCUAUCCAGCUAGAGAUCCUAUGGUCUUGAAGUGAAUGGAACAGAUGUCCAAGAUCUGUGUGUAUUCUGGAUCAAGAUUAUGGAUGACAAGCUUCAGAAAAGCAAAGAAGAUACUACUUCAGGAAUGUGAGCAAUCACCUAUCUGGACCUCUGUUGCCAGUGCAAUAUUUUGACAAUUACCCUCCCUACCCCUAAGAGACAAGUUCUGGUGCUCCCCGGCAUACCUGGUACCAUAUUCAUCAUCUCUAUCAAUGACUGGAACUACAGGCAGCUUGGCACCAUUCAUGGGGCAAAAUCCAUUGGAGAAUAUGCCAAUUCUGAGGCAGCCAUCUGCAUUUUUGCUUUGCUUCAUUUUGAAGACUCUGCAUUGGUGGUGAUAAAAUAUUGCUGAUGACUAACUAUACCAUUAUUUCUAAUGACUGUUUACAGAAGGAUAUUUGAGCUGGAAGCUCUGAGAAGAGAAUUUGCAAAGUUCAGAACUUGACAUCCAUACCCUUCUAAACUUAUACCUCCCAUGUGUGCCAACUUGGAGAGAGGAAGGUGUUAUUGCUGAUAGCAAAACUCUGUUCUCUCUGCCACCCCAUCUCCUCCUCCCCCCUCCCCCCGGCAUUUGGUGAUCCCUGCAUUACUUCAAACACGAGGGAGCAGGCACAUGAGGCAUUUUAAUGGUGAGAGCAAAUGAAUGAUGUAGCCUCUUCCUGGCCUGAGAACCAUGGCCAGACAUUCCAAUGUGCCGGAAGCAAAAUGAUAACCAAUCAAGUUUAAGGAGUCAUCACUGUGGCUAGCAAAUGGCAGCAACAGCAUUGUGCAAGUGUGUGUGUAUCUGUUCAACUCUAGGCUAAAAACCUUGAAAAGUCACAUCUCUGGAGACACAUGGUUAUAUGCGUGUUUAUGUGCAAACAUGUGGGCUCGAUAACAGUAAACAAAAUAUCAACACACAAAUGCAUACAGAGAGCUUUCAGAAGCAACUGGAAUUUAUUUGAGCAAAAAAAGUAUAAAGCUGAAUAAAAAAUGCAGAACAACCGUUUUAUGCUGAGGCUCAUUUUGAAGACUGAAGCUUGGUGUGAUUAUUGGCUGUAGUGGUCAGCAUAUAAAGUGGUGCUACACUAACAUUGAGUUAGACAAUUGGUCCAUCUAGUACAGGGCUGCCUAUUCUGACAGAAGUCAGUCAGGGAACUUUCCCAGCCUUGUACCAGACCUCCUUCUAGCUGGAGAUGGAAUCUGGGAUCUCCUACAUGCAAAAUGUGUGCUCUACCACUGAGCUACAGCCCCUCCACAAAAAGCGUCAUUUUAUUUGUUUCUGGAUUUAUAUCCAAUCCCAGAAGCCCAUGAAACAUUACAGUACAUAAUUAAAGAUGCCAUAACAGAAUAUUAAAUUAGUUCCCCAGUUCUAUAAUGCAAUCCAUCAAAAUACCCACUGAACUUUGCUGUUUAGUUGCUAGGCAGCACUAGAAUUAGUAGUAUCUGGGUGGAUUCAGGCCUUCCCUAUUUCUGUUGUGUUCUUGUUGGACAGAGGCAAUCAAGUUCUUCUCUAGGUUUCUGAUAAGCCAUGAUAACUGCCAUUUCUCCACUCAAACUCACAACCCCUGACGGUUGGCUUUUGGUGAAACUCCUCUCUAUCAGUUUGGACUUUAACCUGUAUCUGCUAGUCAUGGAGAGUGACACAUAACUAUGUAGGACACUGAAUCCUGAGCGCUUGCAAUCCUACAUAGCCUUGUACUAUUUUCUGCUCCUUCAUGAAUUGUUGGCAUCUUAAAACCAAUCAACUAAUAAGUUUAUUAAAAAUGUAAAAAACAAACAAACCAGGAUGCAAUGGAUAUUCAGUGUUAUGUCCAGAACAAAACGGUAGAAUGCGCAAGGUCAUGAAUGAGUGUCUCCACUAUAGAGGUAUGUUAGGUGAAACACAGCAAACAACCAGGGUGCUCCAGUAAAUAAAGCAUAAAAUCACAGAGGUGGAAGAGACCUCAAAGAUCACCUAGUCCAGUUAUGAGCUUAAACAUUUUAAACCCUCUGCCCUGAUUAAAUGAUGGAGAAAUCACUGUGUUUGAAUCUCAGUCUGUGACAAUGUUGCUGAUGACCUGUGAACAUUACACUGUAAGAAUGAAUGUAAACCUCUUUAAAAAAAACUAGCAUGUAAACAAAGUCCUGCCAUUGAAAUAAUAAUAAUAAUAGUUGUAGUAGCAGUAGCUUUGCAUUCAAAUCAGAAUGGUUCUUCACAUCUUUCUUACCUU